This 253-nucleotide ribosomal RNA is filed under the name uncultured bacterium. Its description in RNAcentral is "partial 16S ribosomal RNA". It matches the Rfam family "Bacterial small subunit ribosomal RNA", at positions 524 to 776 of the family's 1533-position model. The record is from RNAcentral.
UACGUAGGGUGCAAGCGUUGUUCGGAAUCAUUGGGCGUAAAGCGCGCGUAGGUGGCCCCAUAAGUCCGCUGUGAAAGUCAAAGGCUCAACCUUUGAAAGCCGGUGGAUACUGCGGGACUAGAGUACGGAAGAGGCGAGUGGAAUUCCUGGUGUAGCGGUGGAAUGCGCAGAUAUCAGGAGGAACACCAAUAGCGAAGGCAGCUCGCUGGGACGUUACUGACACUGAGGCGCGAAAGCGUGGGGAGCGAACAGG